RNAcentral lists this ribosomal RNA (396 nucleotides) under uncultured bacterium. RNAcentral describes it as "partial 16S ribosomal RNA". It matches the Rfam family "Bacterial small subunit ribosomal RNA", at positions 523 to 918 of the family's 1533-position model. The record is from RNAcentral.
AUACGUAGGGGGCGAGCGUUGUCCGGAAUGAUUGGGCGUAAAGGGCGCGUAGGCGGCCCGGUAAGUCUGGAGUGAAAGUCCUGCUUUUAAGGUGGGAAUUGCUUUGGAUACUGUCGGGCUUGAGUGCAGGAGAGGUAAGUGGAAUUCCCAGUGUAGCGGUGAAAUGCGUAGAGAUUGGGAGGAACACCAGUGGCGAAGGCGACUUACUGGACUGUAACUGACGCUGAGGCGCGAAAGUGUGGGGAGCAAACAGGAUUAGAUACCCUGGUAGUCCACGCUGUAAACGAUGAAUACUAGGUGUGGGAGGACUGACCCCUUCCGUGCCGCAGUUAACACAAUAAGUAUUCCACCUGGGGAGUACGAUCGCAAGAUUGAAACUCAAAUGAAUUGGCGGGG